Molecule: microRNA precursor, 96 nt
Organism: Gallus gallus (chicken)
Lineage: Eukaryota; Metazoa; Chordata; Aves; Galliformes; Phasianidae
Source: Ensembl
CUCAUAAUUAGUUUUAUUCAGUUAACGUGACACUUUAGAAAACCUGUAAUGCUAUAAGUGGUUUUCAGAAGUGUAGCGUUUAUGGGAUAAAGUGAG